Etheostoma cragini (Arkansas darter) is the source of this 130-nucleotide long non-coding RNA. RefSeq lists it as uncharacterized. The record is from RefSeq and is a predicted model, not a curated record. The transcript is spliced from 2 exons. NCBI's taxonomy places the organism in Eukaryota, Metazoa, Chordata, Actinopteri, Perciformes, Percidae.
AUAUAUAUAUAUAUAUAUAUAUAUAUAUAUAUAUACAUAUUUAAUCAGUGGUUUUGUCACCAGCAACAACACAUUGCUCAAUUUUGUUCCAGUAAGUUAUGCACCAUAAUAACGUUCUAAAAAAUCUGCG